AUUGAACGCUUGCGGCAGGCCUAACACAUGCAAGUCGAGCGAGCGGCGGACGGGUGAGCAAUGUAUGGGGACUGCCCGAUAGAGGGGGAUUACUACUGGAAACGGUGGCUAUUACCGCAUACUAUCGGAUAACCCAUAUGGGAUCAGCUAGUAGGUGGGGUAAAGGCUCAACUAGGCGACGAUCCCUAGCUGGUCUGAGAGGAUGAUCAGCCACACUGGGGCUGAGACGCGGCCCAGACUCCUACGGAGGCAGCAGUGGGGAAUAUUGCACGAUGGGCGCAAACCUGGUGCAGCCAUGCCGCGUGUAUGAAGAAAGCCUUAGGGUUGGCAAGUACUAUCAGCGGGGAGGCGUUACUCGCAGGAGACGCACAGGCUAACUCCGUGCCAGCAGCCGCGGUAAUAC
RNAcentral lists this ribosomal RNA (403 nucleotides) under uncultured bacterium. RNAcentral's name for it is "partial 16S ribosomal RNA". It matches the Rfam family "Bacterial small subunit ribosomal RNA", at positions 30 to 526 of the family's 1533-position model. The record is from RNAcentral.